RNAcentral lists this ribosomal RNA (253 nucleotides) under uncultured bacterium. RNAcentral describes it as "partial 16S ribosomal RNA". It matches the Rfam family "Bacterial small subunit ribosomal RNA", at positions 524 to 776 of the family's 1533-position model. The record is from RNAcentral.
UACGGAGGGUGCAAGCGUUAAUCGGAAUUACUGGGCGUAAAGCGCGCGUAGGCGGUUGGGUAAGUCAGAUGUGAAAGCCCCGGGCUUAACCUGGGAACUGCAUUUGAUACUGUCUGACUCGAGUAUGGUAGAGGGGGGUGGAAUUCCCGGAGUAGCGGUGAAAUGCGUAGAUAUCGGGAGGAACGCCAGUGGGGAAGGCGGCCCCCGGGACCAAUACUGACGCUGAGGUGCGAAAGCGUGGGGAGCAAACAGG